Long non-coding RNA from Equus caballus (horse), 2465 nucleotides. Lineage: Eukaryota; Metazoa; Chordata; Mammalia; Perissodactyla; Equidae. The record is from Ensembl.
UUUUUUUUUUUUGCUUGACGAAGAGUAGCCCUGAGAUAACAUCUGUGCCAGUCUUCCUCUAUUUUAGAUGUGGGUUGCCACCACAGCAUCUCAUAUAAAAUAGAGGAAGAUGGGCACAGACAUUAGCUCAAGGCCAAUCUUCCUCAGCCAAAAGAAGAGGAUUGGCAAGGGAUGUUAGCUCAGGGCUAAUCUUCCUCAAAAAAAAAGAGUGUUUGUCAUAUCAAAUUAAUUUGAAUGUUAUUAGUGAUGAGGAUUUUAGGCUGGUUACUUUUAAAACUACAGAUGAGGAGCAGGCUCCGAGGACUGGAAUUUUGCUUGCCCUUCUGAGAGACAUUUGCGUUUGUGAAGGAAGGGGGGGUGACCUUGUAGGGACCCGAAAUUGGCCACCCCAGGAUAUGUCUCUUUGGCAUCAGGAUUGUUUUGGGCUGAUUGCUUUCGAUAAACUGGGACAGGGAAGGAGGCUCUGGGGAAUGGAACUUGCCCUUGUUGGGACACAUUUACAUUUGUAAGGUAAAUCUCUAUCUGUAAAAGGUGCCUCCCUCUCUGUACCAGGAAGAAGAGGAGAGAUGACCUUGUCCCUAGAAGCUCUUAAUGGGGAAGGCAAGAACUUAAGUUGGUUGCUGUCUGGCAAUCUCAUGUAACUGGUUUAGGGUGGUGGCGUCUAACCUUUCUAACCUUUACUUAAUCUGAUUUGAUUCUUGUCUAAAAGUCAUGGGAUCACCCAAUGACCAGACCCCACCUGCACUGAUACCAUUUUAACUUUUUUUUUCAUGUUCUUUCCUUUGUCUUGUAAAGAGAUGAAUCAUAUACCUAUGCCUUAAAUUUGGCUCUAACCCUCAACUGGGGGCAGCAGGAGCUCUGACUGCCCGUGGGUCCUGUCCCCACACACCAGCUCUGCUUGCCCAUGGGUCCUGUCCCCAUGCCAGCGGGGGCAGCAGCAGCGGCUCUGCCUGCCCAUGGGCUCUGUCCCCAUGCCAGCGGGGGCAGCAGAAGCGGCGGCAGCAGAAGUUCUGACUGCCCAUGGGUCCUGUCCCCAUGCUAUUCUAUACUAUUCUCUAAAUAAAAGAGCACUACUGCCAGAUCUUGAGAGUCUAAGAAAUCUUUCUUUCGACUCCUCGGCUCACAGACCCCGCAUCAAUUCGUUUUGGAGUUUCCUUUGACAAAUUUGAGUAUUUUGGUUAACAAUUUUAGUAAAAAUAAUUUUAAACUUAACCAGAAUAUGGAAUAUGAUUAUUUCUUGCAUCUUAAAGAACUCACAUAGAACCCCCCAAAUUUGUCUAGAAUUUUUAAAAGCUUUUUAUUAAGGUAUGACAUGCUAUAAAUUUGCUUUGAUUUUAAAGCAGUAAAAGGGCUACAAUCAUAAGUAGUUUAUUCAAAAUUUUAAGAUAUAUUUUAGCAUUAUUACAAUAAAAGUAAUUCAAGCCAAAAGUAGAGGUUUUCAAGAAGAUUAUUCUUGAAAAAUAGUCUAUAUCUUAUUCAAUUUUGAGAAUUUGAGAAUUUUGAGAAAUUGAAUUGUUAUAUUGCCAUAUUGAAGCAUGUGUCAAACUUAAUGUUUGUAUGCUUAUUCUCCUAACAAACUGUUCAUAACUUCAAGAUUUUGUUAUAAAACCACCAACUCUGUGAAUCUUUUCCUGACCUCCACACCACCACAGUUAACAAAGUAGAGUUAAUCACUUUCUCUAUAGAUGGACUUUACAGCCCUUAUCACAUUCCACUGCCCUUUUAUCACCUUCUGAUCUUCCUUCCUAGAAAGUGAGGUCCUUCAGGACACAGUCUGUAAUUUAUGCAUCAGUGAAACUAUGGUUCCUGCCUUGGUCUUUGGCACAUAGAAAGCAUUCAAUAAAUAUCUAGUCAACAAAUGGACUAAUUAAUUAUUUAAUUAAUUAGUGGAAAGGCAGAGGCAAUUACUCUCAUCAGUCCUAAUGAUGCAGGGUCGGUGAGCCGAGGAGUCGAAAGAAAGAUUUCUUAGACUCUCAAGAUCUGGCAGUAGUGCUCUUUUAUUUAGAAAAUAGUGUGGAAUAGCAUGGGGACAGGACCCAUGGGCAGUCAGAGCUUCUGCUGCCGCCGCUUCUGAGUCUAAGAAAUCUUUCUUUCGACUCCUCGGCUCACCGACCCCGCAUCAUCAAAGAGCUGUGCUGAAGAAAGAACAAGUUUAAGAAUGUCACUGAGCUUUGAAUAGAGUGGCUAUUGAUGAGACAUCUGCUUAGGGACUCUACAAAAAGCAAUGGAAGUGACAUGCCCCCCUUCAUGGGUUGUCUGUAAGUCCCAAUACCAUGUCUGAAACUUUGAUCAGCUGGAAAUAAAAGCGUAUUCCUACCCAAUUUUUCCUUCUCAUCCUUGGAAUCCAUGAGCACAGACUCUUGUGCUUUGGUAACAAAGAACCACCAAAUCCCAGCAGCCUACAGAACAAAGGUGUCUUUCUUUCUCACGUGAAUGUCCACCAGCUAGUGGUUUUGCUCUGCACC